This 501-nucleotide ribosomal RNA is filed under the name uncultured bacterium. RNAcentral's name for it is "partial 16S ribosomal RNA". It matches the Rfam family "Bacterial small subunit ribosomal RNA", at positions 30 to 523 of the family's 1533-position model. The record is from RNAcentral.
AUUGAACGCUGGCGGCAGGCUUAACACAUGCAAGUCGAGCGGGGGAAGGUAGCUUGCUACUGGACCUAGCGGCGGACGGGUGAGUAAUGCUUAGGAAUCUGCCUAUUAGUGGGGGACAACAUCUCGAAAGGGAUGCUAAUACCGCAUACGUCCUACGGGAGAAAGCAGGGGAUCUUCGGACCUUGCGCUAAUAGAUGAGCCUAAGUCGGAUUAGCUAGUUGGUGGGGUAAAGGCCUACCAAGGCGACGAUCUGUAGCGGGUCUGAGAGGAUGAUCCGCCACACUGGGACUGAGACACGGCCCAGACUCCUACGGGAGGCAGCAGUGGGGAAUAUUGGACAAUGGGGGGAAUCCUGAUCCAGCCAUGCCGCGUGUGUGAAGAAGGCCUUAUGGUUGUAAAGCACUUUAAGCGAGGAGGAGGCUACUGAGACUAAUACUCUUGGAUAGUGGACGUUACUCGCAGAAUAAGCACCGGCUAACUCUGUGCCAGCCGCCGCCGUAA